This 73-nucleotide transfer RNA is filed under the name Spirochaetaceae bacterium. RNAcentral's name for it is "tRNA-Thr". It matches the Rfam family "tRNA". From Rfam's summary of the family: Transfer RNA (tRNA) molecules are approximately 80 nucleotides in length. Their secondary structure includes four short double-helical elements and three loops (D, anti-codon, and T loops). Further hydrogen bonds mediate the characteristic L-shaped molecular structure. tRNAs have two regions of fundamental functional importance: the anti-codon, which is responsible for specific mRNA codon recognition, and the 3' end, to which the tRNAs corresponding amino acid is attached (by aminoacyl-tRNA synthetases). tRNAs cope with the degeneracy of the genetic code in two manners: having more than one tRNA (with a specific anti-codon) for a particular amino acid; and 'wobble' base-pairing, i.e. permitting non-standard base-pairing at the 3rd anti-codon position. The record is from RNAcentral. Lineage: Bacteria; Pseudomonadati; Spirochaetota; Spirochaetia; Spirochaetales; Spirochaetaceae.
GCCCCUGUAGCUCAGUCGGUAGAGCACAUCCAUGGUAAGGAUGGGGUCAUCGGUUCAAAUCCGAUCGGGGGCU